Long non-coding RNA from Balaenoptera musculus (blue whale), 309 nucleotides. RefSeq lists it as uncharacterized. The record is from RefSeq and is a predicted model, not a curated record. The transcript has 3 exons. NCBI's taxonomy places the organism in Eukaryota, Metazoa, Chordata, Mammalia, Artiodactyla, Balaenopteridae.
AUGCGCGCGCCUCUGGCUCGCUGGGGUGAGCUGCAUAGAGGUCCUUGUGAGUGGCGCGAGACCGGAAGUCUUUACUUAACAUCACAAAGAGAAGCAUCAAACAGCAGUCAUACCCUAUUAUCCUGAUAGCUGGCACGGAGCUGAAGGUAGCUGAUACAGAGCCUGAAAUAGUGCUUCAGUCAACAUGUAUCAUGCAGAUGGAGGCCGAUGGAUGCAAUGGUCCAGCCACCGCAGGGGAUCUUCCAGGUCCCAACGGAGAGGGGAAUGAUGGGGCUUCCCUGGUGGAGCAGUGGUUGAGAAUCUGCCUGC